Small nucleolar RNA from Perognathus longimembris pacificus (Pacific pocket mouse), 132 nucleotides. NCBI's taxonomy places the organism in Eukaryota, Metazoa, Chordata, Mammalia, Rodentia, Heteromyidae. The record is from RefSeq and is a predicted model, not a curated record.
UUUGAGGUCUAUCCUGAUGGAGCUUUUCCUGUAGCCACACAUCAUUGGAAACGCCUCAUACAGUAACUUGGUGGUUUUGCUUUACUCCCAGGUCUAUUUCUUCGGUCUAUGGGGUGGAACUACAAGACAGCU